This 393-nucleotide ribosomal RNA is filed under the name Temora sp. RNAcentral describes it as "partial small subunit ribosomal RNA". It matches the Rfam family "Eukaryotic small subunit ribosomal RNA", at positions 582 to 975 of the family's 1831-position model. Lineage: Eukaryota; Metazoa; Arthropoda; Copepoda; Calanoida; Temoridae. The record is from RNAcentral.
AUUCCAGCUCCAAUAGCGUAUAUUAAAGUUGUUGUGGUUAAAAAGCUCGUAGUUGGAUUUCGGCGGGCAUAGGUUGGUUUGAAUUGCUUCAAUACUGACUUUUUUACCCGUGUGUUUUGCCAGAAUUUAACGGGUGAUCUUCGCCGAUUGUCUGUUAGAACUGACAGGUUUACUUUGAAAAAAUUAGAGUGCUCAAAGCAAGCUUGAUUGCUUGAAUAUUCGUGCAUGGAAUAAUAGAAUAGGAAGUCGUUUCUAUUUUGUUGGUUUUCGGAAAUCGACUUAAUGAUUAAUAGGGACAGUCGGGGGCAUUUGUAUUCAAACGACAGAGGUGAAAUUCUUGGACCGUUUGAAGACAAACUACUGCGAAAGCAUUUGCCAAGAAUGUUUUCAUUA